GCCAGGUGUGGUGGUGCAUGCCUGUAAUCCCUGUGGCUGGGAGGCUAGGCUGGAGAAUCACGAGUUCAAAGCCACCCUAAGCAACUGCAAGGCGCUAAAUAACUCAGUGAGACCCUGUCUCU
Molecule: small RNA, 122 nt
Filed under: Marmota monax (woodchuck)
Lineage: Eukaryota; Metazoa; Chordata; Mammalia; Rodentia; Sciuridae
Source: RNAcentral